GAUGAACGCUGGCGGCGUGCCUAAUACAUGCAAGUCGAGCGAACAGACGAGGAGCUUGCUCCUUCGACGUUAGCGGCGGACGGGUGAGUAACACGUAGGUAACCUACCUAUAAGACUGGGAUAACUUCGGGAAACCGGAGCUAAUACCGGAUAAUAUUUCGAACCGCAUGGUUCGAUAGUGAAAGAUGGCUUUGCUAUCACUUAUAGAUGGACCUGCGCCGUAUUAGCUAGUUGGUAAGGUAACGGCUUACCAAGGCAACGAUACGUAGCCGACCUGAGAGGGUGAUCGGCCACACUGAAACUGAGACACGGUCCAGACUCCUACGGGAGGCAGCAGUAGGGAAUCUUCCGCAAUGGGCGAAAGCCUGACGGAGCAACGCCGCGUGAGUGAUGAAGGUCUUCGGAUCGUAAAACUCUGUUAUUAGGGAAGAACAAACGUGUAAGUAACUGUGCACGUCUUGACGGUACCUAAUCAGAAAGCCACGGCUAACUACGUG
Molecule: ribosomal RNA, 497 nt
Filed under: uncultured bacterium
Lineage: Bacteria
Description: partial 16S ribosomal RNA
Rfam family: Bacterial small subunit ribosomal RNA
Source: RNAcentral